Molecule: long non-coding RNA, 532 nt
Organism: Sus scrofa (pig)
Lineage: Eukaryota; Metazoa; Chordata; Mammalia; Artiodactyla; Suidae
Source: RefSeq, a predicted model, not a curated record
GGUCCAUCCGGCCUGGGAGCACGGCCUGCACACGACUGAGCCGGAGGGACUCUCGGAGCUGUGGGCUCAGGUCUGGGUGGGGAGCGGCCGGAGAGAAGCAGGAGGCCAGCGCAUGGAGCAGCUGGGCUGGCAGAGUUGAAAACAAUCAACAGAAGAAGACUAUUUCACGAUACACAGAAAUUAUCUAAAACCCAAACUUCCGUGUCCAGAAGGAAAGAUUUAGUGGAGCCGGCCACACUGACCUGCAGCAUCAAGCCGCAGACGCAGACGCCCACUGAGACUGCGGGGACCGCGUGGCCCACGUGGCCGAAAAGGCUUGCCCUCCGGCCCCUGAGAGGAGAUCUGCUGACCCCUGACCUGAAACCUGGCAGGUGCUCUUGUGUGCCUGAAAUAGCCCCUCGGGGGGUCCUGGGGGGUCUUCCAGACCUGCCACGGUUGUUGCUGAUGUUUAAUUGUUUGACUUUUUUUCUUUAAUCAUUUAAAAAAUAAUAUCCAUUUCUUGUAACAAGUUAAAAUAAUAGGAGCUACGCCA